RNAcentral lists this ribosomal RNA (349 nucleotides) under Oxymeris crenulata. Its description in RNAcentral is "partial 12S ribosomal RNA". The record is from RNAcentral. Lineage: Eukaryota; Metazoa; Mollusca; Gastropoda; Neogastropoda; Terebridae.
CUACCAGAGUACUAUGAAUGAUAUAUAAUUUAAAACUCAAAGAACUUGGCGGUGUUUUAGACCACUUAGGGGAACCUGUCUCGUAAUCGACAGUCCACGCUGUACCUGACCUUUUUUGUUUUUAGUUUGUAUACCGUUGUCGUCAGGUAACUUUUUAGAAAGUAGAAGUUGGCUAUAGAAAUUUAUUGAUUUAGUACGUCAAAUCAAGGUGCAGCUAAUAAAAGGGGGAGGAUGGGUUACAAUUAUAUAGUUAUAAUAACGGAUGUCCACAUGAAAGUGUGGGUUGUGAAGGAGGACUUAGAAGUAAAUUGGAUUAGAAAAACAGUUUGAAUAAGGCUCUGAAACGUGU